Molecule: ribosomal RNA, 646 nt
Filed under: Limosilactobacillus mucosae
Lineage: Bacteria; Bacillati; Bacillota; Bacilli; Lactobacillales; Lactobacillaceae
Description: bacterial SSU rRNA
Rfam family: Bacterial small subunit ribosomal RNA
Source: RNAcentral
CUUACUGAUUGAUCGUGCUUGCACGGACUUGACGUUGGUUUACCAGCGAGUGGCGGACGGGUGAGUAACACGUAGGUAACCUGCCCCAAAGCGGGGGAUAACAUUUGGAAACAGAUGCUAAUACCGCAUAACAAUUUGAAUCGCAUGAUUCAAAUUUAAGAGAUGGAUUCGGCUAUCACUUUGGGAUGGACCUGCGGCGCAUUAACUUGUUGGUAGGGUAACGGCCUACCAAGGCUGUGAUGCGUAGCCGAGUUGAGAGACUGAUCGGCCACAAUGGAACUGAGACACGGUCCAUACUCCUACGGGAGGCAGCAGUAGGGAAUCUUCCACAAUGGGCGCAAGCCUGAUGGAGCAACACCGCGUGAGUGAAGAAGGGUUUCGGCUCGUAAAGCUCUGUUGUUAGAGAAGAACGUGCGUGAGAGCAACUGUUCACGCAGUGACGGUAUCUAACCAGAAAGUCACGGCUAACUACGUGCCAGCAGCCGCGGUAAUACGUAGGUGGCAAGCGUUAUCCGGAUUUAUUGGGCGUAAAGCGAGCGCAGGCGGUUUGAUAAGUCUGAUGUGAAAGCCUUUGGCUUAACCAAAGAAGUGCAUCGGAAACUGUCAGACUUGAGUGCAGAAGAGGACAGUGGAAUUCCAUGUGUAG